This is a long non-coding RNA of Dendrobium catenatum, 457 nucleotides long. RefSeq lists it as uncharacterized. The record is from RefSeq and is a predicted model, not a curated record. The transcript is spliced from 2 exons. NCBI's taxonomy places the organism in Eukaryota, Viridiplantae, Streptophyta, Magnoliopsida, Asparagales, Orchidaceae.
AAAUAGGUUCUUUCUACUGAAUUAUUUGCCAUUUUUUUCGAAUAAGUCCAAUUUAGUGUUGUAUUUUUUUUUUCAACAGGUGUUGGCAAUGAUCCUAGAGAAGACCGUUAUUUUAGCAUCCCAAAGCAAGCAAAACUUACGAUCCUGAAGGCGAGUACGUUUCAUAUUGGUUGCCAGAGCUCCAACCUCUUCCCAGAGAGAGAAGAAAUUUUCCUGGGAAAUCAUAUAUCAAGCAAGUUGUACCUCUUAAGUUUGAAAAUACUACAAUCAAUAGGCAGAAUCAUUUCAGUACAGGUAAGGUAUGGAAGAAGAAAGAUCACUGACCGAAUGCAUAUCUGAACAAAAUUUCUUUCUGUUACCCAACAGAUUACCAAUUUGUAAUUAAUAGAAAAGUAUUUGUAGUAUUGAUUGGCUUUAUGAAUAAUUAACAUAUUAGUAAAUAUAAUCUCAUAAUUGU